UAGUCCCUACGGGGCGCAGCAGUGGGGGAUAUUGCACAAUGGGGGAAACCCUGAUGCAGCGACGCCGCGUGAGUGAAGAAGUAUUUCGGUAUGUAAAGCUCUAUCGGCAGGGAAGAAAAAGCGCGCGAGCGCCCUUGACAGUACCUGACUAAGAAGCCCCGGCUAACUACGUGCCAGCAGCCGCGGUAAUACGUAGGGGGCAAGCGUUAUCCGGAUUUACUGGGUGUAAAGGGAGCGUAGACGGAGGAGCAAGUCUGAUGUGAAAAUCCGGGGCCCAACCCCGGAACUGCAUUGGAAACUGUUUU
RNAcentral lists this ribosomal RNA (305 nucleotides) under uncultured bacterium. RNAcentral's name for it is "bacterial SSU rRNA". It matches the Rfam family "Bacterial small subunit ribosomal RNA", at positions 333 to 639 of the family's 1533-position model. The record is from RNAcentral.